GUUUCUAUGGUCAGAAAGAGUCGCCAAAAAAUUCAUUCUUUCUUUUUGGACUUGCCGGGCGCAUACAUUACAUCGGAGCACGAAAAACAAGGUGGACUCUUUGCCAGAAGAGCUCUUGAUUAUUCUGUGUCGUUGCGUGUAACGCCAAAAGUGACAUUUAAGUAAUUGUGCAGAGUUUAUUUCGGAUUAAUUACAUAAUUGAAAUUAUACUCCAUUUUCCCAUAUCUAUGGUUCUAUGGUCAGAAAGAGUCGCCAAAAAAUUCAUUCUUUCUUUUUGGACUUGCCGGGCGCAUACAUUACAUCGGAGCACGAAAAACAAGGUGGACUCUUUGCCAGAAGAGCUCUUGAUUAUUCUGUUUAGGUAUCAUUAAACAAUACAAUUUGUUGAAGUUCAUUGCUGAAGGCCUUGCAUUCGUGGCGUCAACUAGAAAUUCUUGUGUUAAUGGAGUCUUCAAGGAAGUCAGCGACAUGCAAACAAGUAAUAAAUUAAAGGUCUUCCAAACAAUAGGCAUCUGAAUAAUGACAGAAAUGCUGGAAAACGGAAGCGUGAAAAGGGUCCAGCUCCUCCCAUGCCUGUCAUUUGCAUGAGUGUGAUGCCAUUGCCUAUCGCAGAUAAAAAACAUGAUUUGGAGAUCAUUGAGUUGCAAUAUUAGUGAUAAUUCUACAAGAAGCAUAGAAACUGCAACUGCCAGUAUGACGGAUGAUCAAGUAGAUGAUUUUUUGCUUCAGUUGUUUGAAAUUGUAAAGGAGAAAAAUGAACUAUUCUGGAGGCAAGCCUAGUUGAGUAUACCUCUGCUAUAAAAUAGAAGCUGUCGACAAUAAUCAAGUUAAUUAUAAAAAAUAAGUUAACUCUGGAAUGAGAAUCCUGUAUUAUCUUACUGCUGCAGUAGACUUCUUUGCUUCAUUAACUAUCGGAUGGCAACCUAUAAGAGAAAUAUCUGCUGAGGGAUCAAAAAGACUUCUAUGGAAACUGAAUUUAUUAAACUGAAUACGCGUAGAGACUUCAAGGAUGUCAUUUUUGAGCCGUGUCAAGUGGCUCCGCCGGCGACUUGAUUGGUCCACGCGAUUGUCAAGUUGUUCAUUUGCGUGAUGGGCAGCAAGAGGACCUCCAAGACCAAGGGAGAGGACCCAGGGAAGUACCCAAUAAUAAUAAGUGUGUUAUGAAAACGAGCAAAAUUAAACAAAUCAUUGUCGGGUUCUCAUUCAUUUAUUCGCGUUUGCUUCCAUUGUAUUUAAAUUUUGUGCAAUUUCUUUUAACAAUUUGUGACAUU
Long non-coding RNA from Ctenocephalides felis (cat flea), 1271 nucleotides. RefSeq lists it as uncharacterized. NCBI's taxonomy places the organism in Eukaryota, Metazoa, Arthropoda, Insecta, Siphonaptera, Pulicidae. The transcript is spliced from 8 exons. The record is from RefSeq and is a predicted model, not a curated record.